RNAcentral lists this unclassified non-coding RNA (352 nucleotides) under Hevea brasiliensis (rubber tree). Lineage: Eukaryota; Viridiplantae; Streptophyta; Magnoliopsida; Malpighiales; Euphorbiaceae. The record is from RNAcentral.
GUGAUUUCCGGUCUCCCUGCUGCUAGUAGCACGGAGAGGCUAGAGAUCCUCGACGACGAACGCCACGUCAUCAGUUUUAGCGUUGUCGGUGGGGACCACAAGUUAGCCAAUUACCGAUCUGUGACUACGCUUCACACGGAACCGAGCUCCGGCAAUGAAGCGGCGGCGGAGACGAUCGUUGUGGAAUCGUACGUCGUUGAUGUACCGCCUGGUAAUACUAGAGAAGAGACGUGCGUUUUUGUGGACACAAUCGUGAAAUGCAACCUUCAAUCGUUAUCUCAGAUCGCGCAGAAUUCAGCCAGAUGAAAAUCUUCGUCAAUUUUGAAUAUGUAUUUUGGAUCGAUCAACUUGC